UACAGAGGGUGCAAGCGUUAAUCGGAAUUACUGGGCGUAAAGCGCGCGUAGGUGGUUCGUUAAGUUGGAUGUGAAAUCCCCGGGCUCAACCUGGGAACUGCAUCCAAAACUGGCGAGCUAGAGUAUGGUAGAGGGUGGUGGAAUUUCCUGUGUAGCGGUGAAAUGCGUAGAUAUAGGAAGGAACACCAGUGGCGAAGGCGACUUACUGGACAACUGUUGACGCUGAGGUGCGAAAGCGUGGGGAGCAAACAGG
Molecule: ribosomal RNA, 253 nt
Filed under: uncultured bacterium
Lineage: Bacteria
Description: partial 16S ribosomal RNA
Rfam family: Bacterial small subunit ribosomal RNA
Source: RNAcentral